CUAGAGAUAGAAGUUUCCCCUUCGGGGGACAAAGUGACAGGUGGUGCAUGGUUGUCGUCAGCUCGUGUCGUGAGAUGUUGGGUUAAGUCCCGCAACGAGCGCAACCCUUAAGCUUAGUUGCCAUCAUUAAGUUGGGCACUCUAAGUUGACUGCCGGUGACAAACCGGAGGAAGGUGGGGAUGACGUCAAAUCAUCAUGCCCCUUAUGAUUUGGGCUACACACGUGCUACAAUGGACAAUACAAAGGGCAGCGAAACCGCGAGGUCAAGCAAAUCCCAUAAAGUUGUUCUCAGUUCGGAUUGUAGUCUGCAACUCGACUACAUGAAGCUGGAAUCGCUAGUAAUCGUAGAUCAGCAUGCUACGGUGAAUACGUUCCCGGGUCUUGUACACACCGCCCGUCACACCACGAGAGUUUGUAACACCCGAAGCCGGUGGAGUAACCAUUUGGAGCUAGCCGUCGAAGGUGGGACAAAUGAUUGGGGUGAAGUCGUAACAAGGUAGCCGUA
This 505-nucleotide ribosomal RNA is filed under the name Staphylococcus sp. HMSC072E01. Its description in RNAcentral is "bacterial SSU rRNA". It matches the Rfam family "Bacterial small subunit ribosomal RNA", at positions 1000 to 1504 of the family's 1533-position model. Lineage: Bacteria; Bacillati; Bacillota; Bacilli; Caryophanales; Staphylococcaceae. The record is from RNAcentral.